UACGUAGGAGGCGAGCGUUGUCCGGAUUUACUGGGCGUAAAGCGCGCGCAGGCGGCACACUAAGUACGAUGUGAAAUCUCCCUGCUCAACGGGGAGGGUGCAUAGUAAACUGGUGAGCUAGAGGACGGUAGAGGGGGGUGGAAUUGCUGGUGUAGCGGUGAAAUGCGUAGAUAUCAGGAAGAACACCCGUGGCGAAGGCGGCUCUCUGGGACGGUACUGACGCUGAGACGCGAAAGCGUGGGGAGCGAACAGG
This 253-nucleotide ribosomal RNA is filed under the name uncultured bacterium. RNAcentral's name for it is "partial 16S ribosomal RNA". It matches the Rfam family "Bacterial small subunit ribosomal RNA", at positions 524 to 776 of the family's 1533-position model. The record is from RNAcentral.